AUCAGAUAUCCUGAGUGGGAAGGGACACACCAGAAGCACCAGGCUGAACCCUUAUGUGAAGGGUUCAGCUGUGGAUUGAACCCACAAUCUGGGCAUUUUCAGCACCCUUCACCACCCAAGCCAAUCUCAGUGAGAAGAACAUGAACUCACCACCAUUAAGGCCUGGCAGUUCCCUGCAGUGAGAGCUCAGUGCACAUCCACAGAGGCAAUUCCAGCAUCUGAAAGGAAGAAAAGAAGAAAAAGGACUUUUCCAAUCCAACCCUGAAGCUGAGAAGCCCAAAAGCUCUGGAGUCUGCUCUGGAACAAAAGGAUCCUCCCAGGGCUGAGGCCCAUUCCCAGCAAACCCUCCCAACAGGCCCAGAGGCGCCGCUGGAGCUCCUGCUGGGCUGGGAAGGGCUGCCAGGAGGACACAGCCCCAGGGGUGGCAGUGGCAGUAGGAAAUGGCCACUCUGGGAUGGCACAGCAGAGCCCAAGGCCAGCAAUGGCCACGGCAGCUGCAGGGUUAAUUCUGCUCCCUGCGCUGCCCCAGCCCGGCAGGAAAUGCCCGGGGGGACAGAAACUCUCGGGGUGCACAAAGUGCAGCAUCUGUGCCCUGAUCCUGCCUGAGCCCAGCGUGGGGGGCCAACCCCCCCAGGGUCAGCCCUGCCCUGCCCUGGCUCAGCCCCAGACACUGCCCCAGCUCCCGGCUGCUCCCGGGGCUGCCACCACUCCUGGCAAGGGGACAAAGGUGACAAAGGCCACAACUGCAUCCAGGCCCAUCACUCCAUCCAGGUCCUCCCAAUCCUCCCAGAGCUCCCCAUCUGUGCUUUGGCCAGUGCCUGCCCCCAGCCCUGCAGCAUCCAGAAAGUUUG
Zonotrichia leucophrys gambelii is the source of this 851-nucleotide long non-coding RNA. RefSeq lists it as uncharacterized. NCBI's taxonomy places the organism in Eukaryota, Metazoa, Chordata, Aves, Passeriformes, Passerellidae. The transcript is spliced from 3 exons. The record is from RefSeq and is a predicted model, not a curated record.